UUGGAGGGCAAGUCUGGUGCCCGCAGCCGCGGUAAUUCCAGCUCCAAUAGCGUAUAUUAAAGUUGUUGCAGUUAAAAAGCUCGUAGUUGAAUUUCGGGAUCAGCAGGUUGGUCGUGCCACUGGUAUGCACUGGCUUUGCUGGUUCCUCCUUUCUGAAGAACUGUAAUGCCAUUAAUUUGGUGUUGCAGGGAAACAGGACUGUUACUUUGAAAAAAUUAGAGUGUUUAAAGCAGGCUAACGCUUGAAUACAUUAGCAUGGAAUAAUGAAAUAGGACGUUCGAUCCUAUUUUGUUGGUUUCUAGGAUUGACGUAAUGAUUAAUAGGGAUAGUUGGGGGCAUUAGUAUUCAAUUGUCAGAGGUGAAAUUCUUGGAUUUAUUGAAGACUAACUACUGCGAAAGCAUUUGCCAAGGAUGUUUUCAUUAAUCAAGAACGAAAGUUAGGGGAUCGAAGACGAUCAGAUACCGUCGUAGUCUUAACCAUAAACUAUGCCGACUAGGGAUCGGAUGAUGUUAAUUUUUUAAUGACUCAUUCGGCGCCUUACGGGAAAC
Molecule: ribosomal RNA, 549 nt
Filed under: uncultured Glomeromycotina
Lineage: Eukaryota; Fungi; Glomeromycota
Description: SSU rRNA
Rfam family: Eukaryotic small subunit ribosomal RNA
Source: RNAcentral